GCUGGCGACUGGCGCACGGGUGAGUAACACGUAUCCAACCUGCCCUUUACUCGGGGAUAGCCUUUCGAAAGAAAGAUUAAUACCCGAUAGCAUAAUGAUUCCGCAUGGUUUCAUUAUUAAAGGAUUCCGGUAAAGGAUGGGGAUGCGUUCCAUUAGGUUGUUGGUGAGGUAACGGCUCACCAAGCCUUCGAUGGAUAGGGGUUCUGAGAGGAAGGUCCCCCACAUUGGAACUGAGACACGGUCCAAACUCCUACGGGAGGCAGCAUG
RNAcentral lists this ribosomal RNA (267 nucleotides) under uncultured bacterium. Its description in RNAcentral is "partial 16S ribosomal RNA". It matches the Rfam family "Bacterial small subunit ribosomal RNA", at positions 87 to 353 of the family's 1533-position model. The record is from RNAcentral.